CUGAUGCGUUGUUGGGUAGGGGAGCGUUCUGUAAGCCUGCGAAGGUGGCCUGUGAGGGUUGCUGGAGGUAUCAGAAGUGCGAAUGCUGACAUAAGUAACGAUAAAGCGGGUGAAAAGCCCGCUCGCCGGAAGACCAAGGGUUCCUGUCCAACGUUAAUCGGGGCAGGGUGAGUCGACCCCUAAGGCGAGGCCGAAAGGCGUAGUCGAUGGGAAACGGGUUAAUAUUCCCGUACUUGGUGUUACUGCGAAGGGGGGACGGAGAAGGCUAUGUUGGCCGGGCGACGGUUGUCCCGGUUUAAGCGUGUAGGUGUGUGUUCCAGGUAAAUCCGGUUCACUUUAACACUGAGGCGUGAUGACGAGGCACUACGGUGCUGAAGCAACAAAUGCCCUG
RNAcentral lists this ribosomal RNA (391 nucleotides) under Salmonella enterica subsp. enterica serovar Reading. RNAcentral's name for it is "partial 23S ribosomal RNA". It matches the Rfam family "Bacterial large subunit ribosomal RNA", at positions 1213 to 1604 of the family's 2925-position model. The record is from RNAcentral. Lineage: Bacteria; Pseudomonadati; Pseudomonadota; Gammaproteobacteria; Enterobacterales; Enterobacteriaceae.